AAUCAACGCUGGCGGCGUGCCUCAGACAUGCAAGUCGAACGAUUAAAGCUCUCUUCGGAGAGUGUAUAGAGUGGCGCACGGGUGAGUAACACGUAAGUAAUCUACCCUCGAGUGGGGAAUAACAACCGGAAACGGUUGCUAAUACCGCAUAAUGCAGCGGCACCGCAAGGUGACAGUUGUUAAAGAUUUAUCGCUUGAGGAGGAGCUUGCGGCAGAUUAGCUAGUUGGUAGGGUAACGGCUUACCAAGGCUACGAUCUGUAACCGGUCUAAGAGGACGGUCGGUCACACUGACACUGAAUAAACGGGUCAGACUCCUACGGGAGGCAGCAGUCGGGAAUUUUGGGCAAUGGGCGAAAGCCUGACCCAGCAACGCCGCGUGAAGGAUGAAGUAUUUCGGUAUGUAAACUUCGAAAGAAUAGGAAGAAUUAAAUGACGGUACUAUUUAUAAGGUACCGGCUAACUACGUGCCAGCAGCCGCGGU
This 482-nucleotide ribosomal RNA is filed under the name uncultured bacterium. Its description in RNAcentral is "bacterial SSU rRNA". It matches the Rfam family "Bacterial small subunit ribosomal RNA", at positions 32 to 521 of the family's 1533-position model. The record is from RNAcentral.